RNAcentral lists this ribosomal RNA (648 nucleotides) under uncultured bacterium. Its description in RNAcentral is "bacterial SSU rRNA". It matches the Rfam family "Bacterial small subunit ribosomal RNA", at positions 64 to 690 of the family's 1533-position model. The record is from RNAcentral.
AAACAGAAGCCUUCGGGUGGAAGAUUUGUGGAUUGAGCGGCGGACGGGUGAGUAACACGUGGGCAACCUACCUAUAAGACUGGGAUAACUCGUGGAAACAGGAGCUAAUACCGGAUGUAUCGUUUGAACGCAUGUUCAAACAAAUAAAGGCGGCUUUACGGCUGUCACUUAUAGAUGGGCCCGCGGCGCAUUAGCUAGUUGGUGGGGUAAUGGCUCACCAAGGCGACGAUGCGUAGCCGACCUGAGAGGGUGAUCGGCCACACUGGGACUGAGACACGGCCCAGACUCCUACGGGAGGCAGCAGUAGGGAAUCUUCCGCAAUGGACGAAAGUCUGACGGAGCAACGCCGCGUGAACGAUGAAGGUUUUCGGAUCGUAAAGUUCUGUUGUUAGGGAAGAACACGUACCGUUCAAAUAGGGCGGUACCUUGACGGUACCUAACGAGAAAGCCCCGGCUAACUACGUGCCAGCAGCCGCGGUAAUACGUAGGGGGCAAGCGUUGUCCGGAAUUAUUGGGCGUAAAGCGCGCGCAGGCGGUCUUUUAAGUCUGAUGUGAAAUCUUGCGGCUCAACCGCAAGCGGUCAUUGGAAACUGGAAGACUUGAGUGCAGAAGAGGAGAGUGGAAUUCCAUGUGUAGCGGUGAAAUGCG